GAUGAAGAACGUAGUGAAAUGCGAUAAGUAGUGUGAAUUGCAGAAUUCAGUGAAUCAUCGAAUCUUUGAACGCACAUUGCGCCCCUUGGUAUUCCAUGGGGCAUGCCUGUUCGAGCGUCAUCUGCACCCUCAAGCACUGCUUGGUGAUGGGCGUCUGUCCCGCCUCUGCGCGCGGACUCGCCCCAAAGGUAUUGGCAGCGGUCCUGUCCGCCUCUCGCGCAGCACAGAUGCGCUUCUCGAGGCUUCGGGGCCCGCGUCCAUGAAGCUCUUUUACCACGUUUGACCUCGGAUCAGGUAGGGAUACCCGCUGAACUUAAGCAUAUCAAUAAGCGGAGGA
Molecule: unclassified non-coding RNA, 337 nt
Filed under: soil metagenome
Description: partial contains 5.8S ribosomal RNA, internal transcribed spacer 2, and large subunit ribosomal RNA
Rfam family: 5.8S ribosomal RNA (bases 1-120)
Source: RNAcentral